GAUGAACGCUGGCGGCGUGCCUAAUACAUGCAAGUCGAGCGAACAGACGAGGAGCUUGCUCCUCUGACGUUAGCGGCGGACGGGAGAGUAACACGUGGAUCACCUACCUAUAAGACUGGGAAAACUUCGGGAAACCGGAGCAAAUACCGGAGAAUAUAUUGAAGCGUAUGGGUCAAUAGUGAAAGACGGCGUUGCUGUCUGUUAUAGAUGGAUCCGCGCCGGUUUGGGUAGUUGGUAAGGUAACGGCGUACGACGGCAAGGCUGCGUAGCAGCGUUGAGAGGGUGAUCGGCCACCCUGGGACGGAGACACGCUCCAGACUCCUACGGGAGGCACCAGUAGGGAAUCUUGCGCAAUGGGCGAAGGCCUGACCGAGCAACGCCGCGGGCUUGAUGAAGAUCUUCGGGUCGGAAAACUCUGUUAUUAGGUUGGAACCAGUGUGUGCGUAACUAUACACGUCUUGAAGGUACCUAGUCAGAAAGCCACGGCUAACUUCGUG
RNAcentral lists this ribosomal RNA (497 nucleotides) under uncultured bacterium. RNAcentral's name for it is "partial 16S ribosomal RNA". It matches the Rfam family "Bacterial small subunit ribosomal RNA", at positions 28 to 507 of the family's 1533-position model. The record is from RNAcentral.